UUUUUCCCAUUUUGUAGGCUGUCUUUUUGUUUUGUUUAUGGUUUCCUUUUCUGUGCAAAAGCUUUUAGGUUUAGUUAGGUCCCAUUUGUUUGUUUUCGCUUUUGUUUCUAUUACUCUAGGAGACAGAUCCAAAAAAAUAUUGCUAUGAUUUAUGUCAAAGAGUGUUCUGCCUGUGUUUUCCUCUAGUAAUUUUAUGGUAUCCAGACUUAUGUUUAGGUCUUUAAUCCGUUUUGAGUUUACUUAGGACUUCAUUUCCUUUUAUUGUUGGAUGGUGUUCUAUUGAAGAGACAUACCAUGUUUGUCUUCUCUCCCGUCCUUACUGUGUGUGUGUGUGUGUGUGUGUGUGUGUGUGUGUGGGUGGGUGGGUGUGCGUGUGGGUGUGGAUGUGUGUGUGCACAGUCUCACACUAUAAAUCAACUGUAAUAAAAAAAAGUUUCAGAAAUUGGUGUGCCCUUUGACAAAGCCUACUAGGAAAUAAAUGCACAACAGUGUAGCCAGUUUUGUUCUUUAGAGUGUUGUUAUAUGUAAGAGUAGAACCUGGCAAAGAACCUGAAUGACCAACCAAAGGAAGUAAAUUAAAUACAUUUCAGUCUGUCCAGAUAAUAGAAUACUUUUCUUUCUUUUUGUCUUUUUAGGGCCGCACCAACCGCAUAUGGAGGUUCCCAGGCUAGGGGCUGAAUCGGAGCUAUAGCUGUCAGCCUGCACCACAGCCACAGCCAACCUAUAUCACAGCUCACAGCACUGCCGGAUCCUUAACCCACUAGGCAAGGCCAGGGAUCAAGCCUGCAUCCUCAUGGAUGCUAGUCAGCUUCACUUCCACUGAGCCAUGGCAGGAACUCCUAGAUAAUAGUAUACUUCUCAGUAUUAAAAUUAUAUUGAGGAUGAAGGAACCAUUGAGAAAUUCAGGGUAUAAUAAUAUAAAAAAUACUAUAUGAGAGGUGACCUUCUGGGGUAAAUAUGUGUAUAUACAUACACCGACCAGGAAAAGUGUCAAUAUCAUGAGGUAUAAAUGAACCCAUAGAUUUUUUUAUCCCUUUUCUAACAUGAUUUUGGAGCUCACUUCAGCACAUAUGCUAAAAUGGGAACAAUACAGCUAGCAUGGCCUCUGUGCAAAGAUGACCUGCAAUUUUGUGAAGCAUCCCAUAUUUUUAACAUGAUUUUCUAUUUUCUAUUAUAAAAAAGUAAGUUAUUUAAUUAACAGCCAAACAGCAUAUUAGUGAAAUAUUUGCAGCAAAUGUGAUAAAUGAAGGCUCGGUAUCUUCACCGUAUGAAGACUUCGUAGGAAAUAUUUAGAGAAUAACAUGAACUCAGAAAACAAGAUACACAACCAAUUAAGAAACAAUCAGCUUUAAUGGUGAGAGGAUAUAUACAAAUUUUAACACUAGCUAAGAUAUGGUUUUUAAAAAUUCUAAUAUUUUUCUGGUGGAAUUAUAAACGGGCACCUUUCUUGCAGAAAGCAAUCUCACAUGAAUUAAGAGCCUUUACAUAUAAGUCACAGAGCUAUAAAAAUAUUAGAGGAAAAUAUAAGGGAAUUUGUUAAUGAUGUCAGGAUAGAGAAAGCCUCCCUAAAUAAGCCAACAAAUAUAGAUGCCAAAAUAGAAAUGAUGACAUGCACGUCUGCUCAAAAUGUGAAGUCAUUCUAUGACAACAGAGUGCACAGCUCAGUUAAAAGACAAGCAAGAGAUUAAGGAGGGUUAGCCUGCCAGCUACAAGUGAAUAAGGAGACUGGCACAUCAGUUCCCUAAAAGCAACACGGAAGGUGGAAAAAAAUCAACAAAAACUACCAUUUAAGUACCCUGGAAAUCACCAAAGUCAGAUACCAAUCUGAAAAUUGUCUAUGCUUGUAAAACCCCUGGACUCUAAGUAAGAGCAGUGGGACUCCGCAGCAUUCUGCCCUGGGACUCCAACCGUCACUCACCACCACCACCACCACCACCACCCUCAUUACCACCACCAUCACUACCACCACCACCACCACCAUCACUACCGACAUCACCACUGUCACCACCAUCACCACCAGUGUCACUCACCACCACCACCACCAUCACCACCAGAAUCACCCUCAUUACCACCACCACCACCACCAUCACCAUCACCAUCACCACAUCACCACCAGAAUCACCCUCAUCAUCACCAUCACCACCACCAUCACCAUCACCAUCACCACCAUCACCACCAUCACCACCAUCACCCUCAUCAUCACCAUCACCACCACCAUCGCCAUCACCAUCACCACCAUCAUCAUCACCACCAUCAUCAUCAUCAUUAUCAUCACCACCACCAUCACCACUACCGACAUCACCACUGUCACCACCAUCACCACCUGUGUCACCACCACCAU
Molecule: long non-coding RNA, 2341 nt
Filed under: Sus scrofa (pig)
Lineage: Eukaryota; Metazoa; Chordata; Mammalia; Artiodactyla; Suidae
Source: RNAcentral